Molecule: non-coding RNA, 71 nt
Organism: Takifugu rubripes (torafugu)
Lineage: Eukaryota; Metazoa; Chordata; Actinopteri; Tetraodontiformes; Tetraodontidae
Source: Rfam
CAGAAGCUGAUUUCAUCUGGUGACGUAGAUGUUUGUACCUUGUCUCUAGCACCAUGUGAAAUCAGUGUUUU